Molecule: ribosomal RNA, 469 nt
Filed under: Klebsiella ornithinolytica
Lineage: Bacteria; Pseudomonadati; Pseudomonadota; Gammaproteobacteria; Enterobacterales; Enterobacteriaceae
Description: bacterial SSU rRNA
Rfam family: Bacterial small subunit ribosomal RNA
Source: RNAcentral
GCGGUAGCACAGAGAGCUUGCUCUCGGGUGACGAGCGGCGGACGGGUGAGUAAUGUCUGGGAAACUGCCUGAUGGAGGGGGAUAACUACUGGAAACGGUAGCUAAUACCGCAUAACGUCGCAAGACCAAAGUGGGGGACCUUCGGGCCUCAUGCCAUCAGAUGUGCCCAGAUGGGAUUAGCUAGUAGGUGGGGUAAUGGCUCACCUAGGCGACGAUCCCUAGCUGGUCUGAGAGGAUGACCAGCCACACUGGAACUGAGACACGGUCCAGACUCCUACGGGAGGCAGCAGUGGGGAAUAUUGCACAAUGGGCGCAAGCCUGAUGCAGCCAUGCCGCGUGUAUGAAGAAGGCCUUCGGGUUGUAAAGUACUUUCAGCGAGGAGGAAGGCGAUAAGGUUAAUAACCUUGUCGAUUGACGUUACUCGCAGAAGAAGCACCGGCUAACUCCGUGCCAGCAGCCGCGGUAAUAC